UGGGGUGUCCAUUGUUCUUACAGCACUGAAUAUGGAGGUAAAGAAGUGUCAGGGUUUCUAUGCUCCACUUCUUGGACUCCGUCCUAAUUCUCCCAAUCGUCCCGAACGAAUCGCUGCCCUCCAGAUGCCUCCUCAUGCCUGCUGACUCUGCAAAGCUAUUCAGAAACAUCUUAUGGCCUGAGCUCAUUCCCAGCUAACAAAGUUAUGUUGUGAAGACGUGACGUGACUGGACCAUAUUCGUGGCAACGACAUAACCAAUUUACAUUCCAGCAACGUAACUUUGUGAUUCCCGUAUUCGUCGUGGCAAUGUAAUAGUUGUACAUUGUUCGAACGUGGAGAGUACGUCCCAAUGACUAAACAGCCUUAUUCUUCAAAAGGCAGAACUGUCCCAUCAUCACUGUCACCAUGGUGUUGCUGCUGUGGAGCCUGUCUCUGGUCUAGCUGCUGAAAAUGAAAAGUAUAUUUUAGUUUUACAGAAAUUAACUACACAUUGGGGUAGAUAUUAUGCUUACAAAUUACAAAUUACCUAAUUACAAAAACCGAAGCGCAAAAUCAAAAUUUUAGGAGCACAGCUGAAGUUUAGGUUUGUUUUAGCAACCGCACUAACA
This is a long non-coding RNA of Ictalurus furcatus (blue catfish), 608 nucleotides long. RefSeq lists it as uncharacterized. The record is from RefSeq and is a predicted model, not a curated record. NCBI's taxonomy places the organism in Eukaryota, Metazoa, Chordata, Actinopteri, Siluriformes, Ictaluridae. The transcript is spliced from 3 exons.